This is a long non-coding RNA of Ornithodoros turicata, 265 nucleotides long. RefSeq lists it as uncharacterized. The transcript is spliced from 3 exons. The record is from RefSeq and is a predicted model, not a curated record. Lineage: Eukaryota; Metazoa; Arthropoda; Arachnida; Ixodida; Argasidae.
UCCGUACAAGUCGUCUUAGCGAACGAACGAAAGCCACAUUUUAGCAACCGUUGCGCUUAGCAGGGGCGGACACGACGGAGCAGCAUGUUGCAACCGUUCCUGUAGACGGUAAUGUGCAGUGCUUCGUUGUCGACGCCCUUGGAGGUUGUGAGGAGUACAAACAUAUCAGACACAAUGGAUCAUUGGCUGCCUGCAGCUAUAUGUGCACUCCAAAGAAGGAAACUUCAUGCUACCGUAAUGAGUGGGAGCAAGAGCCAUGUCUUGU